Molecule: long non-coding RNA, 333 nt
Filed under: Mytilus galloprovincialis (Mediterranean mussel)
Lineage: Eukaryota; Metazoa; Mollusca; Bivalvia; Mytilida; Mytilidae
Source: RNAcentral
AAUAAUGUGGGGUUAAACAUGUUAGCGGGAUCCCAACCCUCCCCUAACCUGGGACAGUGGUAUAACAGUACAACAUAAGAACGAACUAUAAAAAUCAGUUGAAAGGGGCUUAACUCAUCAGAUGGACAAAAAUACAAGUGGACGUGGCCCGGUACUUAUACAUCCCGACACAAAAAGACACAAUGAACAGAUCUGAGAGUACUGGCAGUUAUUUGACAGCUAGUUCAAAGCCACUAACAACUAAUAAAAAAAUCAUGCAACUAAGGCUAAACUAUCAAUCCGUACAGAUCCAAUAUCCAAUGGAUUUAGUGUAAAGACGUCAUAAACAGCCAG